Molecule: long non-coding RNA, 275 nt
Filed under: Eutrema salsugineum
Lineage: Eukaryota; Viridiplantae; Streptophyta; Magnoliopsida; Brassicales; Brassicaceae
Description: long non-coding RNA (ESAL_LNC000364)
Source: RNAcentral
AGAGAGGGUGAAGCAUGAAGUCCUCACCUUGGCACAGAAGGCUGCGAGAUAGGAGGAGGAGAGGGCAUGGCAGAUGGAGAGCGAAGCGGAGAUCUAUCAUCGCUGGAUCCAACUUCGAAGGGAGGAGAAGAUGGAGGCGCAUACAUCUUAGAAUGAAGAAGAAGUUUCGACUGGAAGGAGAUAGAGAAGAGAUCUGAGCAAGGGUGAGAGAAAGAGAAUGAGAGAGAGAAGAGAUCUGAAUACCCGAUGUGCGAUUAGCGAUAACUCUCGUCACC